Betta splendens (Siamese fighting fish) is the source of this 1057-nucleotide non-coding RNA. NCBI's taxonomy places the organism in Eukaryota, Metazoa, Chordata, Actinopteri, Anabantiformes, Osphronemidae. The record is from the annotation of a RefSeq genome assembly.
GCUUGCAGAGAGUAACAGACUGGACAAAGUGAUCAGGAGGCCUGGUUCUGUUCUGGGGGUGGAGCUGGACCCCCUACAUGCUGUAGCUGAGAGGAGGAUGCUGGUCCAACUCCUCUCUAUAGACAACACCUCCACCCCCUACACAGUGUGUGGCUGGACAGAGGAGCACCUUCAGCCACAGCUGAUCAGUGUUAGGUUCUCCACAGAACGCCACCGGAGAACCUUCCUAUUUGAAUCUUGAAUCUUAAACAGCUAUUUGCUGUCUGAAUCUGGAGCAAGUGGAACAAAGAGAAGUGAAAACACAUACAUGAAAGGAGACAGAUUCAGGGAGGAGCUGAGCUGUGACUGAAUGUAGAAGAGAGACAAAUGUCUACAUUCAACACGGUUUGAUACACAGUCAGAGAUCAUCAUUCAUCACGCUGGAGCACGCUCUGGAGCAAAGACAACACAAUGCUCCACAGCAUCCACCAGAGGGACACGUCAUCCAGUAGGAGCUGCACGACCUCUGCACUGUUCAACCACUGUGUCAGUCAUAACUGCUGCACUGAACAGAACAAUUCUCAGACUGAAUGUUGAACAUCAGCCUCUUUCUCCUCUUGACUUCAACCUUGUUGUAGAGAUGGAUCAUUGGCUGUGGAUUAUUCUGGCUGCUCUUUGCUACGAGUGUAAAGGAGAAGACAGAGUGAUCCAGACAACAGGAGACGUCACUGCUACUGAAGGAGACGCUCUUACGCUCAACUGUACAUUUGAGACAAGUGACACAAUGCCAUAUUUGUUCUGGUACAAACAAGAUGUACAUGAUUCUCCAAAGUACAUGUUGAGGUGUCUCUCAAAAUCAGUGGAAAACGCCCCAGAGUUUCCAAAAGAAAGAUUUGAUGCUGCAAUUGAAGGGACAUCAGUUCCUCUGAAGAUCCAGAAGCUUCAAGUGUCUGACUCUGCUGUGUACUACUGUGCUCUGAGGCCCACAGUGACAGGAAACACCUCAACUCUGUACAAAAACCUCUGGAGCAAAGACAACACAAUGCUCCACAGCAUCCACCAGAGGGAGACACGGUGA